UAGUGAGUUUGAUCCUGGCUCAGGAUGAACGCUGGCGGUCUGCUUAACACAUGCAAGUCGAACGGAACCUUUCGGGGUUUAGUGGCGGACGGGUGAGUAACGCGUGAGAAACUACUUACAGAUUGGGGAUAACAGUGGGAAACCAUUGCUAAUACCCAAUGUGCCGAGAGGUGAAAGCUUUAGUGCCUGAAGAUGAGCUCGCGUCUGAUUAGCUAGUUGGAGAGGUAAAGGCUCACCAAGGCAUCGAUCAGUAGCUGGUCUGAGAGGACGAUCAGCCACACUGGGACUGAGACACGGCCCAGACUCCUACGGGG
This 314-nucleotide ribosomal RNA is filed under the name uncultured bacterium. RNAcentral describes it as "bacterial SSU rRNA". It matches the Rfam family "Bacterial small subunit ribosomal RNA", at positions 1 to 346 of the family's 1533-position model. The record is from RNAcentral.